GCUCAAGAGUUAAGGAUUGCCA
This 22-nucleotide non-coding RNA is filed under the name Arabidopsis thaliana (thale cress). Lineage: Eukaryota; Viridiplantae; Streptophyta; Magnoliopsida; Brassicales; Brassicaceae. The record is from RNAcentral.